Ailuropoda melanoleuca (giant panda) is the source of this 928-nucleotide long non-coding RNA. RefSeq lists it as uncharacterized. The record is from RefSeq and is a predicted model, not a curated record. The transcript has 3 exons. NCBI's taxonomy places the organism in Eukaryota, Metazoa, Chordata, Mammalia, Carnivora, Ursidae.
GCAGGGAGGGGUGGACCCAGAAUACCGAGGAAAGAGAUUCACCUGAGGCGGAAGGUGGGCCUCCUCUUUCCCCGAGCCUGGAGAAGAAAAGAAAACAAGGAUUUAGGCACAUGGAUCAGCCCCUGUGUGGAAAACUGCAGACUUUGGGGCAGAAGGAAGAGAAUGACGAGAAAGAAGAGAGAAUGACGAACCGUGCCCGAGCUCUUGAAGCUUCUGCCGGGAGUGAUACGCAUUCGCUUGGUGCACGUUUCAUGGCUAAAGCAACUCCCAUCGUCAACGCCUGAGCUCAGCACAACAGGAACACAGAAAAAGGACUGAUUUGGGGCAAACAGUACAAGCUGAUAGAAGUUGCUCCUUCAUUCAUUAGCUGUUUGCUGAGCCCCUACUGUGUGCCUGCUGCUACGCUCGGCUCUCCGAAGAAGACAGACGUGCUGUCGUAUCGGUGGCCAUUUAGGGAGUUCUUGCUGAUGGCCUUGCUUUGCUUCACUGACACAGGGGACCCCCCCAUCUGAGAGGGAGGGAGUUGUUUCGAGGUAAUAGGUUUGAGGAGGGAGGUAAACAUUUCAGAUAACCUCUGAGGAAAAUGGGAAAGAAAGCUGAAUGGAGGGAGCGGCAUGGAACAGCAGCCCUACACGUCUUGCUGUGGAUGCAAAUUCAUGGCUGUGUGGUUUCCUGUGAACGCUCAGUUGCCUGGAUGCUCUUGGAGCAGAAAGAAGACUCGGCAGUUUUCUGUGUGUUUCUGUGUGACGGAAGAGGACCCAGCAGACUGAGUCAUCAAGAGUGCGUCAAGGGUGGGCAGCACUUGCAGUCAGAUCCAUGAAGAUCCACAUCUUUCUGUAGAUGAGUCCUUUUCCUUGGGAAAUUACAAUUCUGAGAGGUCCCCAAAGCACCAUGGAAGUUUGAAUAAACAAAGGCGUAAAGUUCUUUA